GCGGUUUGUCGCGUCGGGAGUGAAAACACCGGGCUUAACUCGGUGCUUGCUUUCGAUACGGGCAGACUAGAGGUAUGCAGGGGAGAACGGAAUUCCUGGUGUAGCGGUGAAAUGCGCAGAUAUCAGGAGGAACACCGGUGGCGAAGGCGGUUCUCUGGGCAUUACCUGACGCUGAGGAGCGAAAGUGUGGGGAGCGAACAGGAUUAGAUACCCUGGUAGUCCACACCGUAAACGUUGGGCGCUAGGUGUGGGGCCUAUUCCAUGGGUUCCGUGCCGCAGCUAACGCAUUAAGCACUCCGCCUGGGGAGUACGGCCGCAAGGCUGAAACUCAAAGGAAUUGACGGGGACCCGCACAAGCGGUGGAGCAUGUGGUUUAAUUCGACGCAACGCGAAGAACCUUACCAGGUCUUGACAUCCCGCUGCCCGGUGUAGAGAUACGCCUUUCCCUUCGGGGACAGCGGUGACAGGUGGUGCAUGGUUGUCGUCAGCUCGUGUCGUGAGAUGUUGGGUUAAGUCCCGCAACGAGCGCAACCCUUGAUCUUAGUUGCCAGCAUUCAGUUGGGCACUCUAAGGUGACUGCCGGUGACAAACCGGAGGAAGGUGGGGAUGACGUCAAAUCAUCAUGCCCCUUAUGACCUGGGCUACACACGUGCUACAAUGGACGGUACAAAGGGCUGCAAACCCGCGAGGGGGAGCCAAUCCCAGAAAACCGUUCUCAGUUCGGAUUGCAGGCUGCAACUCGCCUGCAUGAAGCCGGAAUC
RNAcentral lists this ribosomal RNA (761 nucleotides) under uncultured Bacillota bacterium. RNAcentral's name for it is "bacterial SSU rRNA". It matches the Rfam family "Bacterial small subunit ribosomal RNA", at positions 575 to 1333 of the family's 1533-position model. Lineage: Bacteria; Bacillati; Bacillota. The record is from RNAcentral.